AUGCGCAGAAUUUGGCAGCAGCUGGCAUUUGUGCUGCAUGACGAGCCCCCUGGCCCUGGAGCGCAUCGAAGCCUUUGCAAAACUUCCAGUCCCCCAGCAUGUGCUGACCUCCUACGCGUCGGUGCCUUGGCCACCGGGACAGUAAGCGCAGGACGACGGCGAUGCAGUUUUGGCCAAUGGUCCCCCCCUCCACUACGCACAGAGGCAGCGAGCCUCGCGCCGAGGAGCCUCAGCUCCAGAUCCGGAUGGCCGAGGACACAGUCUCAUCUCCGCCCCCUCACGAGCUCUGUGACCUCAGGCAAAACAUUUUGGCACGACCACCCCAGAGCUGAAGCGCCCUUCCCACGGAAUCUCCACAGCACGCACUAAGGUUGGGUGAGUCCACCGGGUGAAGCCAAUUUUGAUAACUUGUAGUGCCUACAGCUUCAGUUUGGGAAAAUGAAAAAGUUCUACAAAGGAACAAUGGUGUUGGUUACACAAAAUGAGAAUGUACUUAGUGUCAAUGAACUGUACACUUAAAAACAGUUAAAAUGGUAACUUUUUACAUUAUAUAUACUUUACCACAAUAAGAAAAGGGGGUUGGUUAUUUGGUUAAGAUGAAGCCUGCCAGCACUGGCCAUUGUAAAAUGUCUUUUCCCAUUUGUAAUUAACAACCAGCUUGUGAGUGGUACUUUGAGAAUGUGCAAAUAUCCUAUUUCCCAAAACAAUUCCCAGCAAGGAUUUUAGCAUUAACAGGGAGUGCUUUGUUCAAAAGUUACCUGAAUUCUUUAUUCUAUAGGCUUAUAUGAUUAACUAGAUAUAUAGUUUACAUUCAUUUGAUUGUUUUCAAAAUUUUUACCAGCUUUUAAUUUUAUUUCAUUAGUAUGUAAAAAAUUCACAUAUUUCAGAAGUCAAAAUGAUAUUUUUAAUGUUUAUUUAUUUUUUUACUCUCUUAUAUUAGUCACCACACAGUACACCAUUAGGUUUUGAUGUAGUGUUCCAUGAUUCAUUGUUUGUGUAUAACACCCGGUGCUCCGUGCAAUCCGUGCGCUCCUUAAUACCCACCACCAGGCUCACCCAUCCCCCACCCCUCCCUUCUAAAACCCAGUUUGUUGCCUGGAGUCCACAGUCCCUCAUGGUUCGUCUCCCUCUCCGCUUCCCCCCUUCAUGUUUCCCUUCGUUUUUCUAAUGUCCUCCAUGCUAUUUGUUAUGCUCCACAAAUAAAUGAAACCAUAUGAUAAUUGACUCUCUCUGCUUGACUUAUUUCACUCAGCAUCAUCCCUUGCAUCAACAUGGUUGGGACUGGAGGAGAUUAUGCUAAAAUUAUACUUUUUUAAAGACUCAUUCUCAUUUCCAUCCCUUCCACUUCAUUCUCAACCACAUCCUAUAGUAAUCAUUUUCAUUAGUUUUGGUUUAUGCUUUCUGUGUUUCUCUUUGUAAAAAUAAACACACAGUGGGACGUCUGGGUGGCUCAGUCAGUUAAGAGCCUCCCUUCAACUCAGGUCUCGAUCCCAGGGUCCUGGGAUCGAGUCCUGUAUCGGGCUCCUUGUUCAAUGGGAAGCCUGCUUCUCUCUCUACCUCUGCCUGUCACUUCCCCUGCUGUGCAAGCUCUCUCUCUCUCUCUGUCUGACAAAUAAAUAUAUAAUCCUUAAAACAUAAAUAAACACACAGACUCUUUAUACCUUGCUUUCUUUUUCCUUUUCCGUUUCUUUUUUACUUAACAAUAUAUCCUGGAAUUCACUCUUAAAAAUCACUUCUUGGAGGUCUUCCUCAUUUUUGUACAACUUUAUUGUUUUCUAUUGCAUGGAGAUACUCGUUACGUCACAGGUCUGGUAUGGAUAAGCCUUUGGGUAGUAAGUACCAUUUUGCUAUCACCGGGAGUCCUGCAGUGCAUAACCUCACACAUAUACUGUUUCCUGUCUGUUGGGGGGUCUCUUCGGGGUAAAUUCCUAGAAAGGGGAUUUCUAGGUCAAAGAAAUGAAUAUGUGGUUUUGUUCAAUUUUGCCACAUUUCCUCCUAUAGGUCCUGUGCCAUUUUGCUACUCACAUAAGCAAUGUAUGAGCGUGUUUUCCUCACAGCCUAGUCAAGCCUUGAACACCUGCCAUGUGACAGGCAAGAAGUAAUACUUCAGAUAGUGUUCAUUUGCAUUCCUCAUAUUAAGGAAAUUGGGCAUC
RNAcentral lists this long non-coding RNA (2153 nucleotides) under Mustela putorius furo (domestic ferret). RNAcentral describes it as "lncRNA (ENSMPUG00000024178.1)". Lineage: Eukaryota; Metazoa; Chordata; Mammalia; Carnivora; Mustelidae. The record is from RNAcentral.